Molecule: ribosomal RNA, 109 nt
Filed under: Salmo salar (Atlantic salmon)
Lineage: Eukaryota; Metazoa; Chordata; Actinopteri; Salmoniformes; Salmonidae
Source: RNAcentral
GCUUACGGCCAUACCAGCCUGGUUACUCCUGAUCUCGGAAGCUAAGCAGGGUCGGGCCUGGUUAGUACUUGGAUGGGAGACCGCCUGGGAAUACCAGGUGCUGUAAGCA